UGCACUGAUCUAAUCAGAUUAUUCACCAUUCCUAUGAUGAUCCAUCAAUCGAGAAUAAUUUAAAAAUUAAUUAUACAUAUUUUUAAUUCUCAACACUUGAGAAUAUGUAUCUUUAAGUCAUUAAUUCUUAGGAUGAUUCUUGGACAUAUUAAACAAGAAUGGAAAGAAAAAUAUCUUUUAUUGAUUAUCAAAAAUGUUUAAGUAUAAAAAUAUAUCUUAAAACUAUUAUAAUAUGUCAGCC
Molecule: long non-coding RNA, 241 nt
Filed under: Elaeis guineensis (African oil palm)
Lineage: Eukaryota; Viridiplantae; Streptophyta; Magnoliopsida; Arecales; Arecaceae
Description: long non-coding RNA (EGUI_LNC014723)
Source: RNAcentral